Molecule: long non-coding RNA, 1443 nt
Filed under: Danio rerio (zebrafish)
Lineage: Eukaryota; Metazoa; Chordata; Actinopteri; Cypriniformes; Danionidae
Description: lncRNA si:ch211-160d14.12 (ENSDARG00000079332.5)
Source: RNAcentral
AAAUACUCGUCUGUCUCACUGAAUCACCAGUGUUUUCUUGACUUCAGCAUUGGUGUGUACUGCUGUAUUUGUAGAGCUGCCUUUAACAGAGUUAUAGUUGAUUCUUUAUUGUUUAUUGAGUGUUUUAUAGUUUAUUAAUGUGUUUUGUAUCAUGUUAAAGCAUUCUUUCAUGUUUUUCAUUGAUAACAGCUCAACCUUUACUCUCCACUGCGAUAGAUCUUAGGUAGGUGUUCAUUUCUGUUUACUUUGUAAACUAUUCAAGUUUUUACAAAAAAAAAUCUUGUUGCAGAUAUACUGAUAAAUCAACACCUCCUCAUCUCCAUUAUGAAUCUUCUUCUUCAUCUGCUGAUGCUGUCGCUUCUCUCUGCUGGAUCAGCCAGAGUUGUGCAGGAUUUUGAGAAGAGCUGUGGUCAAUUUUUUGCAAAAGGAAAAUCUCCAAAAGGAUUUACUGGAGCGCAGUACAGGCAGAUCUGCCAAACUCUAGAUAAUGCUGUUCAUUUCGCCACACUUUAUGACACUUACAACAAGAUCCCUGUGUACUCGGCCUAUGUGUUUGAAGGGCUAAUGGGCUGCACAAGACUAAACAGCUGGUACAUUGAACCUCAGCUUGAUGAUAAUAAUGGAGGAGCAAACAUGGCAUUUUCGAGCACCGUGAAAGAAAAUUAUCGAGGAGUUCAUCAAGCUCUCGAUAAAGACUAUGAUAAAUCUGGCUAUGACAGAGGUCAUCUGGCUCCAGUUUACCAUGCAAACUCUCAGAGCUGUGCUGACGCCACCUUCACUCUCACCAAUGCUGCUCCACAAGAGCCCAAUUUUAACCGAGGUACAUGGAAGGCACUAGAGGGACAAAUUGCCAAUGAUCUGUUCAAGACAUGCACAAAAAAAGGCUGUCGUGUUUAUGUUGUGACAGGGGUGGUACCAGGUAAUGGACAACCAGUGAAUAACAGAGUGAAUGUACCUAGUUAUUUCUGGACCGCUUUCUGCUGCUUAAACAAGAAUGUGUGUCAGUUCUCUGAGGGAGCCAUUGGAACCAAUGACAAUAAUGGCAAUAUUAUGCCAUUGAGUGUGGCUGGUUUACAGAAUAAGUUACAACAGUUUUAUGGAAAGGCUAUUACAUUGUUUCAGUAGGCUAACGAUAACAAAACCAGACACCGUUUGUUUCUAAUAAAUCCUCACUGAGUGAUUAAACAUGGCAAACCUAUGUGAAAUUGUGUCUUUUAAUGCAGAUUAGUACAAUUUGAUCAAAACUGUAAUCACUAUAAUUGAAUUAUAGAACAUUUAAGCUGUUUUAUUUAAAAGGGAUGCAAAUGUAUCUGUAAUGAAGUGUAUCAUGUACUUAAUCAAGAAUGAUGAUGAUUACCCUGUGAUAUUAUAAUGAAAACAAUACUGAUUUUACUGUAAAAUCUUUUAAGCUCUAAUAAAGAUCUUUAUUGAGGCAAAACCUGC